GAGAGCCCGGUGCCCGGAGACGGGCACGCCGGGUUCGGCGGGCGGACCGGGGAAACCCACCGGGAGCAACCCCGGCAGGGCGCCCCGGUCCGACCCAAC
This 99-nucleotide non-coding RNA is filed under the name Frankia casuarinae. The record is from RNAcentral. Lineage: Bacteria; Bacillati; Actinomycetota; Actinomycetes; Frankiales; Frankiaceae.